CAUGGGUGGUGGUGCAUGGCCGUUCUUAGUUGGUGGGUUGCCUUGUCAGGUUGAUUCCGGUAACGAACGAGACCUCGGCCUGCUAACUAGCUUCGGGGGGCUUUUGCCCCGCCGACGCUUCUUAGAGGGACUGCUGGCGUUCCAGCCAGCGGAAGCGCGAGGCGAUAACAGGUCUGUGAUGCCCUUAGAUGUUCUGGGCCGCACGCGCGCUACACUGGCGCGGGCAACGAGCUUUCCGUCCCGCCGAGAGGCGCGACGACUCUCCCAACCCGCGCCGUGACGGGGAUAGAUCCUUGGAAUUUUUGAUCUUCAACGAGGAAUGCCUAGUAGGCGCAAGUCAUCAGCUUGCGUCGAUUACGU
Molecule: ribosomal RNA, 360 nt
Filed under: Prototheca sp. Proto146
Lineage: Eukaryota; Viridiplantae; Chlorophyta; Trebouxiophyceae; Chlorellales; Chlorellaceae
Description: SSU rRNA
Rfam family: Eukaryotic small subunit ribosomal RNA
Source: RNAcentral